RNAcentral lists this small nuclear RNA (100 nucleotides) under Octodon degus (degu). The record is from RNAcentral. Lineage: Eukaryota; Metazoa; Chordata; Mammalia; Rodentia; Octodontidae.
UUACUUUUGCAUCACAUAUACUAAAACUGGAAUGAUAUGGAAAUUAGCAUGGCCCCAGUGUAAAGAUGACAUAUAAAUUUUUGAAUUGUUCUAUAUUGUA